GACGAACGCUGGCGGCGUGCUUAACACAUGCAAGUCGAACGGAAAGACCCUGCUUUUGUGGGGUGCUCGAGUGGCGAACGGGUGAGUAACACGUGAGUAACCUGCCCUUGACUUUGGGAUAACUUCAGGAAACUGGGGCUAAUGCCGGAUAGGAGCUCCUGCUGCAUGGUGGGGGUUGGAAAGUUUCGGCGGUUGGGGAUGGACUCGCGGCUUAUCAGCUUGUUGGUGGGGUAGUGGCUUACCAAGGCUUUGACGGGUAGCCGGCCUGAGAGGGUGACCGGCCACAUUGGGACUGAGAUACGGCCCAGACUCCUACGGGAGGCAGCAGUGGGGAAUAUUGCACAAUGGGCGGAAGCCUGAUGCAGCAACGCCGCGUGCGGGAUGACGGCCUUCGGGUUGUAAACCGCUUUCGCCUGUGACGAAGUGUGAGUGACGGUAAUGGGUAAAGAAGCACCGGCUAACUACGUG
Molecule: ribosomal RNA, 468 nt
Filed under: uncultured bacterium
Lineage: Bacteria
Description: partial 16S ribosomal RNA
Rfam family: Bacterial small subunit ribosomal RNA
Source: RNAcentral